GCACCAGCCGAAUGUACAAUUCAGAAGCAGGUGUUCCAAAAAUUGAUGCAGUGGCAUAAACCGGCAGUCUGGUGUGUAAUGUACACCCAUCGUGUGGCGUGUUCGGACUAUCUAAUUGUAUCACCAGUUCCAUCUCAACACCGGAGCCGGCAUGGAGAGAAGAAAUGCAGAAGGCAGCCAAGGGUCAUUUUAUUAUAGGCACAGGGGCAAAAAGAUUGAAAGAGAGGACAUAUCAAAGGAAAUGUUCCAUAAAAUCACAAGGUUCUGUCAUGCGUGGGGACACCUGCCUUGCUGAUGUGCCUGCAACAUUCCAAACUGUCUCCUUUGUCUUCCAAGCUUGCUAUUGUGCACGUGACUUUGGGCUGUGCCACGCCUGAGGUUGUCAAUCCUGAGCCAUUUUUGCUGUCCCGGGAUUUUUUGCUGUCAAUCCCGGGACGGGAUUUCGGGAUUGUGACUAGUUUAGAUAGUGCUUCCGAGCAUAGUCCUGCGCAGGUCGGGACCCGCAUCCGAACCGUGCCCGCAGGUUCCAAUCCGCACCCGACACGCUACCCGAGUCCCGUUACAAAUUGAGACCCGCAUCCGAGCGCAGCACGCAUAUUUUUUUCAAAAAGCUCACUCGCACACGAAGCCCGCAGCGCGAUGAAUGCAGUACACUGAUAGUCUCUGCAUGAUCAUUAGAUGUGUCUGUGUGCAUAGUUUUUUGUACGACAUCAGCGCAGGGGGCAAAAAGGUGCGUGUUGGUUUGUGACUCGAGGCAGGAUGACACGAAGCGUGACAUGGACAAAGCAGAACACACAGGCGCUGUUGCACCCUAAUGGUGUGAGCGUUUGUUCCGCCCUUGUCAGCGACGUUUUACGUCAUAAUUCGAGUACAGAUUGCAGUACAGACGUGUAAAAUGUUGAGCAACUCAGUGUACUUUCUAAUAGUGUUUUGGUAAAAUGCAUCGACCGCACCGAACCCGCUACCUCGCUGGUCCCUACCGUGCAGGGCUCUACUUCCAAGUCCAUUCACCUCAAGUGACUAUAUCGGUGUGCUGCGCGCAGUUCAUGUGUGCUUUGUCAAUUCUACCUUUUCGCGAAAGAAAGCACUCGAAAAUUCGCAGUGUAAUUACAUUGGUAAAUAGUAAAGACGAAAUGGUUACAUUUUAUUUAUUUAUUUUUGCUCUGAUAAUGAUAUAUGAUAAGGAGUGAGUCUGUGCCUGAUGGCCCACGGGUGUUUGAUUUUCCUGUCAUAUUUGCCCUCACGAAGUCCCGGGAUUUUCCGGAAGGAAUCCUGGGACUUCGGGACGUCAAAAAUUGGUCGGGAUCCCGAGAUUUUGGGAUAUCCCGAUUGACAACCCUAGCCACACCCCACUGACAAAAACCAAGGUAGAUGCAAUACAGAAUUGAUGAAUUAAAAACAAUUAAAAAACCCCAGUGCUGCGUAGGACAAGGUUAGGUAAGACAACAUUAUUGUAGUUACGUAAUUAUAGCUAAACAUAUCAUUACUGACAUGUGUCUAACGCUGAAAUCGCAAGGGCACCCCCUGUAGGGGGUGCACUGGUGGAAAAGUUAGGGUGGUGUGGGGGGUCUGGAUAAUUUACUGUGUGCGCUACACCCUUAUCCACUCCCAUAUGACUUAUGGCCUCACAGAUACCUUCAACCUGUUCUCCUGACCUAGAAGCGGGCACUGCAGAUUAUUCUGUUUUUAGAUCCUGAUGAGUCUGUCUCAUUUGCUUUUCCCCGUUUCCGCAUCCUCAAUGUACACCACCUUGUGAAGUAUAAAGUUGCUCAGGUUAUGUACCAGAUAUUUUACACACCUUCUAGUCAACUUCAGUUAACCAUGCACAAUUAUACCACACCCUUCUCUCAGACAUCAGCACAAUUAAUUCUGGUUUCCUACCUAACACACUAAUUUCGGUCCAUUCUUCCUUUCGUCCUUGGGUAGUUAAAUUUGGAACGACAUCCCUCUAUGCCAGUGUUUCUCAAACUUUUCCAGUAUGUGACCCCCUUGAGUACCACCAAACCACCAUUUACAUUUAUAUAUUAUACAUUUAUAUUUUAAUGUAUUUAAAAGACAUAAACCACAGAGAGAGCUACCAAAAAUGCUUAUUGGUGUUUUUUUUAACAAGGAUUGGUUUAAUUUUAAGUAUGUACUUGAUUUCUUGGUACAAGCAAAUCACUAAGUUGGUCUGUGUGACUCAAGCCAUAUCUAGCUAUGCAAGCAAGGCAUAUCGCAUGUCUACUCGGACCCUCCAUGACCCCCAGAAGAAGGCUCAUUACCAGUCAAGGAUCAUUUGGGGGGGGGGGUCAUGACCCGCAGCUUGAGAAACACAGCUCUACGCAUUUGUUCCAACAAUAAUCUUGCAUCCUUCAAAAACGCAAACAAACGGGACAUAUACGUAGGGUGACAUGCAAUUACUUUUUGAUUGUUUGCAUGUCUCUGCUGUGCAAUGCCUUUGCUAUUUGUUUCUUACACUUGACAUGUGUUCUUGGUAUUUUUGUUCCCCUCAAACUGUGUAGACAUUUGCAUUGAUUGUUCAACAGGGCUUGCCCUCUCAGUCCUGUUAUCAGUAAUCAGUGUACACUGUCAUGGAAUAACAAUAAAAAUCUCAAAGCUAAAAAAAAGAAUCCUCUGAAACACA
Molecule: long non-coding RNA, 2623 nt
Organism: Ornithodoros turicata
Lineage: Eukaryota; Metazoa; Arthropoda; Arachnida; Ixodida; Argasidae
Exons: 4
Source: RefSeq, a predicted model, not a curated record